Molecule: ribosomal RNA, 24 nt
Filed under: Rhizomucor pusillus
Lineage: Eukaryota; Fungi; Mucoromycota; Mucoromycetes; Mucorales; Lichtheimiaceae
Also listed under: 1 other name
Description: partial 28S ribosomal RNA
Source: RNAcentral
AUCUGAACUUAGAUGGGAUUACCC